RNAcentral lists this ribosomal RNA (255 nucleotides) under uncultured bacterium. RNAcentral's name for it is "partial 16S ribosomal RNA". It matches the Rfam family "Bacterial small subunit ribosomal RNA", at positions 524 to 777 of the family's 1533-position model. The record is from RNAcentral.
UACGUAGGGGGGCGAGCGUUGUCCGGAGUUACUGGGCGUAAAGGGCAUGCAGGCGGUCGGACGCGUUUCGGGUGACAGCGGGUGGCUUAACUACCCGAGUGGUCGAAAGACGGUUUGACUUGAGGACGCGAGAGGGACACGGAAUUCCGGGUGGAGUGGUGAAAUGCGCAGAUAUCAGGAAGAACACCUAUGGCGAAAGCAGCUCUCUGGGACGGUACUGACGCUGAGGAGCGAAAGCCAGGGGAGCAAACGGGG